This 460-nucleotide ribosomal RNA is filed under the name uncultured bacterium. RNAcentral describes it as "partial 16S ribosomal RNA". It matches the Rfam family "Bacterial small subunit ribosomal RNA", at positions 338 to 795 of the family's 1533-position model. The record is from RNAcentral.
CCUACGGGUGGCAGCAGUGAGGAAUCUUGGUCAAUGGACGAAAGGCUGAACCAGCCACGUCGCGUGAAGGAUGAAUGCCUUCUGGUUGGUACACUUCUUUUAUAGGGGAAUAAAACUGUCUACGUGAGGAUAUUUGUCUUGACCAUAUGAAUUAAGAUAGGCUAACUCCGUUCCAGCCGACGAGCUAAUACGGAGGAUGCGAGCGUAACCCGGCUUGAUUGGGUUUGAAGGGAGCGUAGGUGGGUUGUUAAGUCAGUUGUGAAGGUUAGCGGCUCAACCGUAAAAUGGCAGUUGAAACUGGAAGACUUGAGUGCAGUAGAGGUAGGUGGAAUGCGUGGUGUAGCGGUGAAAUGCGUAGAGAUCACGAAGAACGCCGAUUGCGAAGGCAGCUUACUGGGCUGUAACUGACACUGAGGCGCGAAAGCGUGGGGAUCAAACAGGAUUAGAUACCCUAGUAGUC